GAGCUUGCUCUUCUUGGAUGAGUUGCGAACGGGUGAGUAACGCGUAGGUAACCUGCCUUGUAGCGGGGGAUAACUAUUGGAAACGAUAGCUAAUACCGCAUAACAAUGGAUGACCCAUGUCAUUUAUUUGAAAGGGGCAAAUGCUCCACUACAAGAUGGACCUGCGUUGUAUUAGCUAGUAGGUGAGGUAACGGCUCACCUAGGCGACGAUACAUAGCCGACCUGAGAGGGUGAUCGGCCACACUGGGACUGAGACACGGCCCAGACUCCUACGGGAGGCAGCAGUAGGGAAUCUUCGGCAAUGGGGGCAACCCUGACCGAGCAACGCCGCGUGAGUGAAGAAGGUUUUCGGAUCGUAAAGCUCUGUUGUAAGUCAAGAACGAGUGUGAGAGUGGAAAGUUCACACUGUGACGGUAGCUUACCAGAAAGGGACGGCUAACUACGUGCCAGCAGCCGCGGUAAUACGUAGGUCCCGAGCGUUGUCCGGAUUUAUUGGGCGUAAAGCGAGCGCAGGCGGUUUGAUAAGUCUGAAGUUAAAGGCUGUGGCUCAACCAUAGUUCGCUUUGGAAACUGUCAAACUUGAGUGCAGAAGGGGAGAGUGGAAUUCCAUGUGUAGCGGUGAAAUGCGUAGAUAUAUGGAGGAACACCGGUGGCGAA
Molecule: ribosomal RNA, 657 nt
Filed under: uncultured Bacilli bacterium
Lineage: Bacteria; Bacillati; Bacillota; Bacilli
Description: bacterial SSU rRNA
Rfam family: Bacterial small subunit ribosomal RNA
Source: RNAcentral